RNAcentral lists this ribosomal RNA (304 nucleotides) under uncultured bacterium. Its description in RNAcentral is "partial 16S ribosomal RNA". It matches the Rfam family "Bacterial small subunit ribosomal RNA", at positions 506 to 807 of the family's 1533-position model. The record is from RNAcentral.
CAGCAGCAGCCGCGGUAAUACAGAGGGUGCGAGCGUUAAUCGGAUUUACUGGGCGUAAAGCGUGCGUAGGCGGCUUUUUAAGUCGGAUGUGAAAUCCCUGAGCUUAACUUAGGAAUUGCAUUCGAUACUGGGAAGCUAGAGUAUGGGAGAGGAUGGUAGAAUUCCAGGUGCAGCGGUGAAAUGCGUAGAGAUCUGGAGGAAUACCGAUGGCGAAGGCAGCCAUCUGGCCUAAUACUGACGCUGAGGUACGAAAGCAUGGGGAGCAAACAGGAUUAGAUACCCCGGUAGUCCCUGUCUCUUAUAC